Molecule: ribosomal RNA, 106 nt
Filed under: Nannoperca obscura
Lineage: Eukaryota; Metazoa; Chordata; Actinopteri; Centrarchiformes; Percichthyidae
Description: partial 16S ribosomal RNA
Source: RNAcentral
CGCUAAAUAGCUAGCCCACCCAACCAAAAACAAUAACUCAUUAUUAAUAACCCCCAACACACUAUAGACCCCCCCCAAACAAAACAUUUUUCCUCCCUAGUAUGGG